RNAcentral lists this ribosomal RNA (259 nucleotides) under uncultured Leptotrichia sp. RNAcentral's name for it is "partial 16S ribosomal RNA". It matches the Rfam family "Bacterial small subunit ribosomal RNA", at positions 97 to 355 of the family's 1533-position model. The record is from RNAcentral. Lineage: Bacteria; Fusobacteriati; Fusobacteriota; Fusobacteriia; Fusobacteriales; Leptotrichiaceae.
GGCGGACGGGUGAGUAACGCGUAAAGAACUUGCCCUUUAGACUGGGAUAACAGAGGGAAACUUCUGAUAAUACUGGAUAAGUUAGUAUAUCGCAUGAUAUACAAAAUGAAAGCUACGGCACUAAAGGAGAGCUUUGCGUCCUAUUAGCUAGUUGGUAAGGUAAGAGCUUACCAAGGCGAUGAUAGGUAGCCGGCCUGAGAGGGUGGACGGCCACAAGGGGACUGAGAUACGGCCCUUACUCCUACGGGAGGCAGCAGUC